RNAcentral lists this unclassified non-coding RNA (232 nucleotides) under Micarea xanthonica. RNAcentral's name for it is "partial contains 5.8S ribosomal RNA, internal transcribed spacer 2, and large subunit ribosomal RNA". The record is from RNAcentral. Lineage: Eukaryota; Fungi; Ascomycota; Lecanoromycetes; Lecanorales; Micareaceae.
CGCACAUUGCACUCCUUGGUAUUCCGGGGAGUAUGCUUGUCCGAGCGUCAUUUCACCUCUCAAGCUUACGCUUGGUAUUGGAUCUUGUCGGUAACAGACAUUUCCGAAAACGAGUGGCAGGUUGUUGAACUUUAGCGAAUUGAAAUAUUAUCGUGUCAAGUCUCAUCACGCCUUGCCAGAAAACCUUCAAUAUCUUGACCUCGGAUCAAGUAGGGAUACCCGCUGAACUUAA